AUUGCUCGGUGGUAAAGAGGGAGCCAUGGGGUAUCUAAUUGCGGGAAUUGCUACUGAGAACCCAAGUGGAACAACAUGAAGGUGACAGGUACAACUACCCUUCUACAUUUCACCUGGAUUUACAACCCAUUCCAGUCACAUGAGAGCACAACAAAACUUGCAUUUCAAAGACAUGGACCAAACUCAACAUGAAUCUUGUCUAUGAACCCUGAGGAGACGUUUGGCUUUGACAGAUCUACUAAAGCUGCCAGUGUCUAAACUUCAAAGCUCUCGUAAAGAGGUUCAUUGGAAUCUGAAUGUGUUGAGAUUGUCUUCAUUCAGCUUCUUCAAUUCUGGCUGUGCACAUCUGCUCACAUUCCACACAUAUAGGAUACUUCCACAUCAUUAGGAUACUUUCUGAACUAUCAUCAUGCUUACAUCAAGUUUUUUCUUAUGCCAACCGGCACUGUCUAAGACAACAUGUGGAAGACAGCACACACCUGAGACUACUCUUAAAGGCAGUGGAGUGGAAUUACAUCAAGUCUGGCUUCUCCUACAGUACUCAGGAUGAAGGUCUUCAUUUAAGUUCUUGAAACAUGGUGAAAUGGAGAGAAAUCUUCAGGUUUUAUUCUAUUUUCUCACUUCCCAUUCAUUCAAGUUCUUUGGCAUCUUUUCAUUGCACGCAGAAGGACAUGUUCAACCUCCGUCAGCAGCCAUGGCCCAUUUUAUGUUCUGAAAAAUCUUGCCAGAAUGGCCCCCCUCAAGCAACAAAUGGCCCAAUUUAUUUAUGACAGUGCCAAAAAAACUAUUUCCAGGAUGUUCAUAGGUCAAGAGCUCC
This is a long non-coding RNA of Grus americana (Whooping crane), 817 nucleotides long. RefSeq lists it as uncharacterized. The transcript is spliced from 5 exons. The record is from RefSeq and is a predicted model, not a curated record. Lineage: Eukaryota; Metazoa; Chordata; Aves; Gruiformes; Gruidae.